CCUACGGGAGGCAGCAGUAGGGAAUCUUUCACAAUGGGCGAAAGCCUGAUGGAGCAACGCCGCGUGCAGGAUGAAGGCCUUCGGGUUGUAAACUGCUUUUAUAAGCGAGAAAUAUGAUGGUAACUUAUGAAUAAGGAUCGGCUAACUACGUGCCAGCAGCCGCGGUCAAACGUAGGAUCCGAGCAUUAUCCGGAGUGACUGGGUGUAAAGAGUUGCGUAGGUGGCAUAAUAAGUAGCUAGUGAAAUCUGGUGGCUCAACCAUUCAGACUAUUAGCUAAACUGUUAAGCUUGAGAACGUUAGGGGUAACUGGAAUUUCUAGUGUAGGAGUGAAAUCCGUAGAUAUUAGAAGGAACACCAAUAGCGUAGGCAGGUUACUGGGACGGUUCUGACACUAAGGCACGAAAGCGUAGGGAGCAAACGGGAUUAGAUACCCCUGUAGUC
This 442-nucleotide ribosomal RNA is filed under the name uncultured bacterium. Its description in RNAcentral is "partial 16S ribosomal RNA". It matches the Rfam family "Bacterial small subunit ribosomal RNA", at positions 338 to 795 of the family's 1533-position model. The record is from RNAcentral.